RNAcentral lists this ribosomal RNA (501 nucleotides) under uncultured bacterium. RNAcentral describes it as "bacterial SSU rRNA". It matches the Rfam family "Bacterial small subunit ribosomal RNA", at positions 30 to 524 of the family's 1533-position model. The record is from RNAcentral.
AUUGAACGCUGGCGGCAUGCCUUACACAUGCAAGUCGAACGGCAGCACGGGAGCUUGCUCCUGGUGGCGAGUGGCGAACGGGUGAGUAAUACAUCGGAACGUACCCUGAAGUGGGGGAUAACGUAGCGAAAGUUACGCUAAUACCGCAUAUUCUGUGAGCAGGAAAGAGGGGGAUCGCAAGACCUCUUGCUUUAGGAGCGGCCGAUGUCGGAUUAGCUAGUUGGUGAGGUAAAGGCUCACCAAGGCGACGAUCCGUAGCGGGUCUGAGAGGAUGAUCCGCCACACUGGGACUGAGACACGGCCCAGACUCCUACGGGAGGCAGCAGUGGGGAAUUUUGGACAAUGGGCGCAAGCCUGAUCCAGCCAUGCCGCGUGAGUGAAGAAGGCCUUGGUUGUAAGCUCUUCGGUGGGAAGAAGUUAGCGUUCGGUUAAUACCUGGAGUAGAGUGACGGUACCGCAUAAGAAGACACCGGCUAACUACGUGCCAGCAGCCGCGGUAAC